Molecule: long non-coding RNA, 1233 nt
Filed under: Anser brachyrhynchus (Pink-footed goose)
Lineage: Eukaryota; Metazoa; Chordata; Aves; Anseriformes; Anatidae
Description: lncRNA (ENSABRG00000007727.1)
Source: RNAcentral
CCUCCAGUUGACCUCAUUGUGUCUCCAGUUGACCCCAUUGGGUCUCCAGUUGUCCAUGUUGGGUCUCCAGUUGACCCCAUUGACCCCCUUGGGUCUCCAGUUAACCCCGUUGGGCCUCCAGUUGACCCCAUUCGGUCUCCAGUUGACCCCAUUGGGUCUCCAGUUGACCCCAUUCGGUCCCCAGUAGACCCUGUUGACCCCAUUGGGUCUCCAGUUGACCUCACUGGGUCUCCAGUUGACCCCAUUGGGUCUCCAGUGGACCCUGUUGACCCCAUUGUGUUUCCAAUUGACCCCGUUGGGUCUCCAGUUGACCCCGUUGGGUCUCCAGUUGACCCCACUGACCCCACUGGGCCUUCCGUUGCCCUCAUUGGCCAUCUCUUAUCCUCUCCCCCCCCCCCAGUUCAACAGCUUCGAGCAGCUCUGCAUCAACUUCACCAACGAGAAGCUGCAGCAGUUCUUCAACCACCAUAUGUUCGUGCUGGAGCAGGAGGAGUACAAGAAGGAAGGCAUCGAGUGGGAGUUCAUCGACUUUGGCAUGGACCUCCAGGCCUGCAUCGACCUCAUCGAGAAGCCCAUGGGGAUCAUGUCCAUCCUGGAGGAGGAGUGCAUGUUCCCCAAGGCCUCGGACAUGACCUUCAAGGCCAAGCUCUACGACAACCACCUGGGGAAGUCGGGCAACUUCGGGAAGCCCCGCAAUGUCAAGGGCAAGACGGAAGCCCACUUCUCCCUGGUCCACUACGCAGGGACGGUGGACUACAACAUCAUCGGCUGGCUGGAGAAGAACAAGGACCCCCUCAACGAGACGGUGGUGGGGCUCUACCAGAAGUCGGCCCUCAAGCUCCUGGCCAGCCUCUUCUCCAGCUACGCCGGGGCGGAUUCGGGUGGGUGGAGGGGUGGAGGGGUGGAUGGAUGGAUGGAGAUGGUUGGAGAUGUUUCAGAACCUCUAGGGAUGGAUGGAUGGACAGAUGGAUGGAUGGAGAUGUUUGGAGAUGUUUUAGAACCCCUAGGGAUGGCUGGACGGAUGGAUGGAUGAUGGAUGGAUGGAGAAGCCCCCUCAGAGAUCCUCCCCCUGGUUCCCUUCCCCCUUCUCCUCCCUCCAGGUGGCGACGGAGGGAAGGGGAAAGGAGCCAAGAAGAAGGGCUCCUCCUUCCAGACCGUCUCGGCCCUGCAUCGGGUGAGGACCCGGAGGUCCACGGGGCAGGGGGAACCUCGGGACAUGGUGGGGGUGGGCGG